Molecule: ribosomal RNA, 253 nt
Filed under: uncultured bacterium
Lineage: Bacteria
Description: partial 16S ribosomal RNA
Rfam family: Bacterial small subunit ribosomal RNA
Source: RNAcentral
UACGAAGGGUUCUAGCGUUGUUCGGAAUCACUGGGCGUAAAGCGCGCGUAGGCGGCUUAUCAAGUCAGAGGUGAAAGCCUGGAGCUUAACUCCAGAACUGCCUUUGAAACUGUUAAGCUGGAGUGUCGGAGGGGAUAGCGGAAUUGCUAAUGUAGAGGUGAAAUUCGUAGAUAUUAGCAGGAACACCGGUGACGAAGGCGGCUAUCUGGACGACGACUGACGCUGAGGCGCGAAAGCGUGGGGAUCAAACAGG